GUUUAUUCCUUUUUUAAAGUUGUAAAAUUGAGUUUCAAUGUUUAUUAAAGUAUAGUCUUUUUCUAUGUCUUUUAAGCAUUCUUGCCCUUCUGCAUUAAGUAGAGUAUAAUUUUUAAAAUAUUCUAAGUUAUCUUCUAAAUUUUUGUUUUCUUUUAACAGGUUGCUAUUUUAGCAUUGGUUAUUUUGGCAAUCUUCGCAACAUGGUUUAGAAAUUAAUUUUUUUUAUGUGUUU
RNAcentral lists this long non-coding RNA (232 nucleotides) under Capsicum annuum. RNAcentral's name for it is "long non-coding RNA (CANN_LNC014447)". The record is from RNAcentral. Lineage: Eukaryota; Viridiplantae; Streptophyta; Magnoliopsida; Solanales; Solanaceae.